Long non-coding RNA from Hippocampus zosterae (dwarf seahorse), 732 nucleotides. RefSeq lists it as uncharacterized. The record is from RefSeq and is a predicted model, not a curated record. The transcript has 2 exons. NCBI's taxonomy places the organism in Eukaryota, Metazoa, Chordata, Actinopteri, Syngnathiformes, Syngnathidae.
CAGCUGAAGGCCUGUGGAGCUCUGGAGAAGGGAAUAAUUCGCCAGCUGGAGAGAUGGGUGGAGAGGGACUGGAGCUGCCAGAGUCUUGCUGCCCAUGGCGGAGGCAAGAAAUCCAAUUAGAUGACUUACCGAACAAAAAAAACCCCUGAAAGAUCCCCCUCUUCGCCGCGGAGGUCUGCCGUGGAUGGGAAGCGUUCGUGGCAAGGUGAAGAUGAAGCGCGAUGUUUGACGUGAGUUUUAAUGAAACCACAGCAUGUUUCCUCCUCUCAGUUCGCCGCAAAAUGCGUCUGAACUGACAAGGCACGGCGGUGUGUGCUGGUGCAGCUUUGCUUCUCCCCGUUCGCUGACUGACCCGCGCCUCUUUAUUGCGCAGAGCGAAGCUCCGACUGGCGCGUCACUCAGCCAACCCACAUCCAAUACAAGCCGUUGGAGAUACAUAAAGAUUACGCAGACCAGAGCUGCGCUGUUCUGUGAGGCACUCGACGUGAGCCACAACUCACAAGGCUUGCGUAAGCAGCUAAGACCAUUUCUAUACUUACCAAAAGUGUUUCACGGUUGGCCAACUUCACUGACCAACGCACAGCGCCCUGACCACAACCCAUUAAAACAUUUGGAAUGGACAGUACUAAAAAUAAUGAAACAGACACUCGUCUCCAACGACUACGACAUCACAAAUAGAUGAUAAAAACCUACAAACUGGGGUCAUUUUAUUAAGUUUGAAAAAAAUGCAAA